This 207-nucleotide ribosomal RNA is filed under the name uncultured bacterium. RNAcentral describes it as "partial 16S ribosomal RNA". It matches the Rfam family "Bacterial small subunit ribosomal RNA", at positions 31 to 269 of the family's 1533-position model. The record is from RNAcentral.
GAACGCUGGCGGCGUGCUUAACACAUGCAAGUCGAACGAACCUUCGGGUUAGUGGCGGACGGGUGAGUAACGCGUGAGAAUCUGCCCUCAGGAGGGGGAUAACGGCUGGAAACGGCCGCUAAUACCCCAUAUGCCGCGAGGUGAAACGAAUUUCGCCUGAGGAUGAGCUCGCGUCUGAUUAGCUAGUUGGUGGGGUAAGAGCCUACC